This 1409-nucleotide long non-coding RNA is filed under the name Rhagoletis pomonella (apple maggot). Its description in RNAcentral is "uncharacterized LOC118756824, transcript variant X2". Lineage: Eukaryota; Metazoa; Arthropoda; Insecta; Diptera; Tephritidae. The record is from RNAcentral.
AAGUCGUAACCACAGUAUACCAGUAGAAAAGGUUUUUGUUUUUGUAGCUGUUUCGUGGUGAAAGUCCUUUAUGGGGGCCAAAUUUCCGUACAAGAAAUUGAGCGCAUGGUUGCUUUUGCAUUCCAAAAGAACGAAUAUUAGAAAACAUUGAAAAAAAGUCUGAUAUAAUACAAUUAUAUUCUACUAGAAAUAAACUCGAUAGUGUGCGCUAAUUAGAUAAUGUGAUAAUCAUGUUUAAAAACUCUUUUCAAGUCUUAUUUUUCAGAAAAUAAAAUUGUGGAUCAGAUUGCUCUGAGCGCUUGUGUUGUUUACCAAGAAAAUGCACCCCUGUUGGUUUUUAUUUCUGUAUCGCAUCGCGGUGAGUUUCUAUUUCUUGGUAAUUCGGUUUGUGAAAUGACUAUUAGUUACAAGCACAGCAUCAUCAACGGUGAUUGCAAGAACUACUGCAAUCCCUGCGGUUUUUCCUCUUGGUGAAUGCGUUCUGGUCGUGACCAAGGGUGGUCUCCCAAUCGGCCGGGAAUAAGGCUAUUGUUGCAGAACAAAACGCCACAAACACUGGUGUGGUAAAUAAGUUCCAGCAGUACUGCCCACCGCCGUCGUUGUAAUGAUUUCGAUAGCUGAACAAACGCCAUCUCCUGGGCAUUCCCACAUGCCGACAAUAGCUGUUAUAUCACGUGUGAAUGCAACUGCGGCUAAAUUUGGUUAUUAACAGUGCAAUAGCGCCAUGUCAUUGGCAAAAACACUAAGGGCUGCUGGCAUAUAGAGGUUGUAAAGUUUUUGGAAUCGAUGAACUUACUCGAAGAAGACGAUGGUCGAAAACAUAUGAUGAAACGUCUUCUGGCAUGCCUUUGACAAUCGUUAAGUCAGACGGAGGCUUCACAUGCGAUAUUUCACACAUGCCUGGAAUUCGUUAGCGGACAGAGCACACAUUUACAAAAUAUUUAUCGUUCUGCAGAACGUGCAUGCAUAUAUGCAUAUUCGAUUCCGACUGAAACCUGGUAACUGAGUUGCUAUAUUGGCACGAACUAAGCAAGGCUGUCAUAGGAUCCAUCGUAGUCCGAUUUUUCGUGAAAUCUACGAAAAUGCUAUUAAAUUCGAGUAGCUACAAACGCAGUGGUUGCUUUGAAUAAACACGUUCAUAGCAGUUCAGAUUCAGUGAUCGCUUUUUUGUAGAUUUUAUGAAAGAUCGGACUACGAUGGAUUCCGCCACCAAUAUGUUUUCUCCUUUGACAAGAUGUUGGAGAAUCGCGGCAGCACAGCCCUAUACCUACUCUAUGCUCUUACGCGCAUAUGCUAAAUUUCUCGCACCUAGCAUAAGUGCUUGACAAAGGCAGAAGGCAUAUCUUCAACAUUAUAACUUAAAGUAAGAGUUUAAGGUAUGCAAUAAAAGAAUACAACAGAACCAAAAA